CUAUACAUGACUCUGUGCAUAUCAAUAAGCGGAGGAAAAGAAACUAACAAGGAUUCCCUUAGUAACGGCGAGUGAAGCGGGAAGAGCUCAAAUUUGAAAUCUUCAAGGGUUCUACCUUGACGAAUUGUAGUUUAUAGAAGUGUUUUCUGUUAGUAGAGGUGGCUAAAAGUUCUUUGGAAUAGGACAUCAUAGAGGGUGAGAAUCCCGUAUUUGAUCAUUCUUUCUAACGUUGUGAUACACUUUCAACGAGUCGGAUUGUUUGGGAAUGCAGUCCAAAAUGGGUGGUAAAUUUCAUCUAAAGCUAAAUAUUGGCGAGAGACCGAUAGCGAACAAGUACCGUGAGGGAAAGAUGAAAAGAACUUUGAAAAGAGAGUUAAACAGUACGUGAAAUUGUCAAAAGGGAGGCGUUUGACACCAGUGUUGUUUUUCCGAAAAUCAAUUACGAAUGUUUUAUUUUUGAGGAGUUAUGACUUCAUCGGCUUGCUUCCUUUCUUUACGGAACUUUCUUAAUGCACUUUUCGGUUAACAAGUCAACAUCAAUUUCUUUUGUUGUAAAAGAGUAUGAGGAAGGUGGCUUUCUUUUCGGAGAAAGUGUUUAUAGCCUUGUACCUCUGCAAUCGGAGAGAUUGAGGUCUGCAGCGUAGAUCCUUCGGGGUUAGAUACAUUUGUGCUAAGUUAUAGCAAGUUCAUAGACAACUUGUUGACUAUGCUUAGUCUUGUAGCUUACUCGCAGUAUGCUAUUUUACCUACGCUUAGGAUGUUGAUAUGCAUGACUGAUAU
This 780-nucleotide ribosomal RNA is filed under the name uncultured Neocallimastigales. Its description in RNAcentral is "partial large subunit ribosomal RNA". It matches the Rfam family "Eukaryotic large subunit ribosomal RNA", at positions 22 to 635 of the family's 3401-position model. Lineage: Eukaryota; Fungi; Neocallimastigomycota; Neocallimastigomycetes; Neocallimastigales. The record is from RNAcentral.